RNAcentral lists this unclassified non-coding RNA (315 nucleotides) under uncultured Thelephorales. Its description in RNAcentral is "sequence contains 5.8S rRNA gene, ITS2, 28S rRNA gene". Lineage: Eukaryota; Fungi; Basidiomycota; Agaricomycetes; Thelephorales. The record is from RNAcentral.
AACGCACCUUGCGCCCUUUGGCUAUUCCGAAGGGCAUGCCUGUUUGAGUAUCAUGAACACCUCAACCCUCAUGGUUUGCCAUGAUGGGCUUGGACUUUGGGGGUCUUGCUGGAUUGUAGAUCAGCUCCCCUUAAAUGAAUCAGCUUUCCAGUGUCUGGUGGCAUCAUGGGUGUGAUAAUCAUCUACGCUUGUGGUUUUACACCAGGUAACCUUCAGAGAUGGGGGUUCGCUGGGGCUCAUAAAGGUCCCUCCUCUGUGAGGACAACUCUUUGAAUGUUUGAUCUCAAAUCAGGUAGGACUACCCGCUGAACUUAA